CGGGGUGCAGCAGGCGCGAAAACUUUACAAUGCGGGAAACCGUGAUAAGGGGACACCGAGUGCCAGCAUCAUAUGCUGGCUGUCCAGGUGUGUAAAAUACACCUGUUAGCAAGGGCCGGGCAAGACCGGUGCCAGCCGCCGCGGUAACACCGGCGGCCCGAGUGGUGAUCGUGAUUAUUGGGUCUAAAGGGUCCGUAGCCGGUUUGGUCAGUCCUCCGGGAAAUCUGACGGCUCAACCGUUAGGCUUUCGGGGGAUACUGCCAGGCUUGGAACCGGGAGAGGUAAGAGGUACUACAGGGGUAGGAGUGAAAUCUUGUAAUCCCUGUGAGACCACCUGUGGCGAAGGCGUCUUACCAGAACGGGUUCGACGGUGAGGGACGAAAGCUGGGGGCACGAACCGGAUUAGAUACCCGGGUAGUCCCAGCCGUAAACGAUGCUCGCUAGGUGUCAGGCAUGGCGCGACCGUGUCUGGUGCCGCAGGGAAGCCGUGAAGCGAGCCACCUGGGAAGUACGGCCGCAAGGCUGAAACUUAAAGGAAUUGGCGG
RNAcentral lists this ribosomal RNA (545 nucleotides) under uncultured archaeon. Its description in RNAcentral is "bacterial SSU rRNA". It matches the Rfam family "Archaeal small subunit ribosomal RNA", at positions 326 to 871 of the family's 1478-position model. The record is from RNAcentral.